CUUAAACGACGAAAGGUCAACGAAAUCCACACAAUAGAAAUUGUUGAAAACCACAGCGACACCUCGUCGGACAAUGGAGUGCUACACAUAACAACGGAAGGAGUCCAGUACGCAGUCGUGCAGAGGCAGGCGGCCACACAGAGGAUUGAAACGCAG
Molecule: long non-coding RNA, 156 nt
Organism: Mya arenaria
Lineage: Eukaryota; Metazoa; Mollusca; Bivalvia; Myida; Myidae
Exons: 3
Source: RefSeq, a predicted model, not a curated record